AGGGUGAACGCUGGCGGCAGGCCUAACACAUGCAAGUCGAACGGCAGCACAGCCCUAGCAAUAGGGUGGGUGGCGAGUGGCGGACGGGUGAGGAAUACAUCGGAAUCUACCUUGUCGUGGGGGAUAACGUAGGGAAACUUACGCUAAUACCGCAUACGAACUAUGGUUGAAAGCGGCGGACCGCAAGGCGUCGCGCGAUUGGAUGAGCCGAUGUCCGAUUAGCUAGUUGGCGGGGUAAAGCCCACCAAGGCGACGAUCGGUAGCUGGUCUGAGAGGAUGAUCAGCCACACUGGAACUGAGACACGGUCCAGACUCCGUACGGGAGCAGCAGUGGGAAUAGUGGACAAGUGGGCGACAAGCCUGAUCCAGCCAGUCGCCGCGUGUGUGAAGAAGGUCCUUCGGUUAGUAAGCUACGUUUUUGGUUAGGGAAGAAAG
RNAcentral lists this ribosomal RNA (435 nucleotides) under uncultured soil bacterium. Its description in RNAcentral is "bacterial SSU rRNA". It matches the Rfam family "Bacterial small subunit ribosomal RNA", at positions 26 to 454 of the family's 1533-position model. The record is from RNAcentral.